This 497-nucleotide ribosomal RNA is filed under the name uncultured bacterium. Its description in RNAcentral is "partial 16S ribosomal RNA". It matches the Rfam family "Bacterial small subunit ribosomal RNA", at positions 28 to 507 of the family's 1533-position model. The record is from RNAcentral.
GAUGAACGCUGGCGGCGUGCCUAAUACAUGCAAGUCGAGCGAACAGACGAGGCGCUUGCUCCUCUGACGUUAGCGGCGGACGGGUGAGUAACACGUGGAUAACCUACCUAUAAGACUGGGAUAACUUCGGGAAACCGGAGCUAAUACCGGAUAAUAUCUUGAACCGCAUGGUUCAAUAGUGAAAGACGGUUUUGCUGUCACUUAUAGAUGGAUCUGCGCCGGAUUAGCUAGUUGGUAAGGUAACGGCUUACCAAGGCAACGAUGCGUAGCCGACCGGAGAGAGGGAUAGGCCACACUGGAACUGAGACACGGUCCAGACUCCUACGGGAGGCAGCAGUAGGGAAUCUGCCGCAAUGGGCGAAAGCCUGACGGAGCAACGCCGCGUGAGUGAUGAAGGUCUUCGGAUCGUAAAACUCUGUUAUUAGUGAAGAACAAAUGUGUAAGUAACUAUGCACGUCUUGACGGUACCUAAUCAGAAAGCCACGGCUAACUACGUG